This 520-nucleotide long non-coding RNA is filed under the name Mustela putorius furo (domestic ferret). RNAcentral describes it as "lncRNA (ENSMPUG00000024492.1)". The record is from RNAcentral. Lineage: Eukaryota; Metazoa; Chordata; Mammalia; Carnivora; Mustelidae.
GGCUCCGAGAGCUUCCUGCCUCCCCUUCCCGGGAGCGGCCUCACGCACGCUCGCAGGCGUCUUCCUCCCUCCUAACAACAACCACUUCAAAUACUAUUGGCUGAUUCUGACCCCACCCCUUCGGCUGCCGCCGUGCGGACAGGCUGACUUAAGUGCCAUUCACUGCCCUUAGUCCUAAACUCUUAAGGAAAGGAGAACAGGAGAAAAGAACAACACAACUUCAGAAGCCAGAAAAUAGAUGGAUGAGUGGUGACUGAUUUAGUAGAUCCAAGAAAGCUGAGCAGCAACUGGCUUAUACUGGAAAUACCUUAAAAGACUCAGAAACUUGCAAAACCAGGGAUCACUGGGCCUGAGGGGAGAGGAGAAGGCGAAGAUGCAGCCACCAUCCCAUCAAGUUCCAUAUGGCUUCCCAGAGCGAGUACAAGAGUUAAGUGCAUGGGUCAACUUGCCCCAGCUGCAAAAUGUCCAGAUAUUAAUCUCUAUUUCUAGCUGGGGCAUUGGUCUUCUGCACUCACACUAG